AUUGAACGCUGGCGGCAUGCUUUACACAUGCAAGUCGAACGGCAGCGCGGGCUUCGGCCUGGCGGCGAGUGGCGAACGGGUGAGUAAUAUAUCGGAACGUACCCAAGAGUGGGGGAUAACGUAGCGAAAGUUACGCUAAUACCGCAUACGAUCUAAGGAUGAAAGCAGGGGAUCGCAAGACCUUGUGCUCCUGGAGCGGCCGAUAUCUGAUUAGCUAGUUGGUGGGGUAAAGGCCCACCAAGGCAACGAUCAGUAGCUGGUCUGAGAGGACGACCAGCCACACUGGAACUGAGACACGGUCCAGACUCCUACGGGAGGCAGCAGUGGGAAUUUUGGACAAUGGGGGGCAACCCUGAUCCAGCAAUGCCGCGUGAGUGAAGAAGGCCUUC
Molecule: ribosomal RNA, 389 nt
Filed under: uncultured bacterium
Lineage: Bacteria
Description: bacterial SSU rRNA
Rfam family: Bacterial small subunit ribosomal RNA
Source: RNAcentral